Molecule: ribosomal RNA, 492 nt
Filed under: uncultured bacterium
Lineage: Bacteria
Description: partial 16S ribosomal RNA
Rfam family: Bacterial small subunit ribosomal RNA
Source: RNAcentral
AGUGAACGCUGGCGGUAGGCCUAACACAUGCAAGUCGAACGGCAGCACAGUAAGAGCUUGCUCUUACGGGUGGCGAGUGGCGGAUGGGUGAGGAAUACAUCGGAAUCUACUUUUUCGUGGGGGAUAACGAAGGGAAACUUACGCUAAUACCGCCUACGACCUACGGGUGAAAGCAGGGGAUCUUCGGACCUUGCGCGAUUGAAUGAGCCGAUGUCGGAUUAGCGAGUUGGCGGGGUAAAGGCCCACCAAGGCGACGAUCCGUAGCUGGGCUGAGCGGAUGAUCAGCCACUCUGGAACUGAGACACGGUCCAGACUCCUACGGGAGGCAGCAGUGGGGAAUAUUGGACGAUGGGCGCAAGCCUGAUCCAGCCAUACCGCGUGGGUGAAGAAGGCCUGCGGGUUGUAAAGCCCUUUUGUUGGGAAAGAAAAGCAGCAGGUUAAUACCCCGCUGUUCUGACGGUACCCAAAGAAUAAGCACCGGCUAACUUCGUG